UACAGAGGUCUCAAGCGAUAUUCGGAUUCAUGGGGCGUAAAAGGUGCGUAGGUGGUUGGGUAAGUCAAAUGUGAAAUCCCGGGGCGCAACUCCGGAACUGCAUUCGAUACUGCCCGGCUCGAGGAUUGGAGAGGAGACUGGAAUUCACGGUGUAGCAGUGAAAUGCGUAGAGAUCGUGAGGAACACCAGUGGCGAAGGCGGGUCUCUGGACAAUUCCUGACACUGAGGCACGAAGGCCAGGGGAGCAAACGGG
RNAcentral lists this ribosomal RNA (253 nucleotides) under uncultured bacterium. RNAcentral describes it as "partial 16S ribosomal RNA". It matches the Rfam family "Bacterial small subunit ribosomal RNA", at positions 524 to 776 of the family's 1533-position model. The record is from RNAcentral.